Pelmatolapia mariae (spotted tilapia) is the source of this 1054-nucleotide long non-coding RNA. RefSeq lists it as uncharacterized. NCBI's taxonomy places the organism in Eukaryota, Metazoa, Chordata, Actinopteri, Cichliformes, Cichlidae. The transcript has 4 exons. The record is from RefSeq and is a predicted model, not a curated record.
GCUACUGUUUACUUCCUGUUUGGAUCUGCCUGUUCCUGUGAGCUCCUGCUACCUGUCCAACAAGAGAAAUUCUUCACUCAGCAAGUUGGUGACAGUGCCUGGACCCUGUUUUAGAGAGUAAAAUCUCUGCGUGGUGCUGAGUCCUUAAGGCAUGCAACCGGCCAUCUCCGCGAGUCUCGAGCCUGGGUUGGAGCGAGGGGUCCCCUGGGGUCCUGACCUUUACACCUUUGUAACUUCAGCAGCAGGUCACCUGAUGAGGACCCUGCAGAAACCCAAGAAGAACCGACCAUCCAAGCGGCAGGUCAACCACCGUCGCUUCCUGCACAACAUGAUUCAGAGGUCUCAUACAUAGUCCAGCAUCGCCGAACCAUCAGUUUGGAAGGGUUACCGAUAUUUGUUCGCGACGACGAGACCAAACUCUUCCUAACAUGUCUGGACCCUGGAGAAAAACAAAAAGAAAGGCAAGAUCUUUUAAGGACAGUCGGCAGGACCACCCCAACUCAAGAAAGUUUUGUUUGCCAAUGUUGCCAGUCAGGACACCAGUGUGUGGCUCAGAUAUUACCCCACCUCCUCCCGAUCUUCCUCUAUCCUCCCCUCUUCAGGACCCUGGAGAAAAACAAAAAGAAAGGCAAGAUCUUUUAAGGACAGUCGGCAGGACCACCCCAACUCAAGAAAGUUUUGUUUGCCAAUGUUGCCAGUCAGGACACCAGUGUGUGGCUCUGAUAUUACCCCACCUCCUCCCGAUCUUCCUCUAUCCUCCCCUCUUCAGGACCCUGGAGAAAAACAAAAAGAAAGGCAAGAUCUUUUAAGGACAGUCGGCAGGACCACACCAACUCAAGAAAGUUUUGUUUGCCAAUGUUGCCAGUCAGGACACCAGUGUGUGGCUCUGAUAUUACCCCACCUCCUCCCGAUCUUCCUCUAUCCUCCCCUCUUCAGGACCCUGGAGAAAAACAAAAAGAAAGGCAAGAUCUUUUAAGGACAGUCGGCAGGACCACACCAACUCAAGAAAGUUUUGUUUGCCAAUGUUGCCAGUCAGGACACCAGUGUGUGGCUC